GUCAGCCUCCUGGGGCAGGCACAGAAGGGUGGAGGGAAGACCUCAUUAAAUAAAGACAUCCAGCACACCAAAACAGGCAGAAAGCAGACAUGAUAACGAGAUUGCCACCUCUUUACCUUCUUGUAACCAUAAGAAUGAGGGAAGCUUCAUUCCGACGGAGUUCGACCAAAAUAGAGAAGAAGUUGUAAGGGCAACCCUUGCAUAAAAAUAUCCACUCACCAACUGUUCACCAACUGUUCUUCCUCUUGCUGGCAUACCUUAUGCAGCAUCCUAAGAUGCCAGAGCGCGUUUCUGCUGCAGCCUCCACGAUGCCUGGGCUGAUAGCAAUCAGGUCCUGCUAUGCUUCUUUCAGGAAGAGCUGACCCCUGGAAUCUGGGCUAGACUUGCACUUGUUUUGGCCAUUGGAAUAUCAAGCUGACUUUUUGUGGGCUCUGGAGACUAGGACCUAAAAGGAGGAAUGUUGCCCCCUCACCAUUAUGUAAAGAAGCUGGCGCAACCUGCUGGAGGAGAAUAUGCCACCUGGGGAAGAACUGAGGCACCCAGCCAACAUCCAGCACCCACCACUAGACAUGUGAGUGAAACUAUCGUUGGACUUUUCAUCUCAGCUCACCUGCUAGCAGAAUGUGGCUGCAUGAAUAAGCCCAGGGGAAACCAGCAGAGGGACCUCCCAGCUAACCCACAGAAUCAUGAGAAAUAACACAUUGUUAUUUUAGUUAUGUUUUGGGGUAAUUUGUUACCUAGCAAUAUUUAACUGAACAGAGGACUUAACUC
Pan troglodytes (chimpanzee) is the source of this 771-nucleotide long non-coding RNA. RefSeq lists it as uncharacterized. Lineage: Eukaryota; Metazoa; Chordata; Mammalia; Primates; Hominidae. The record is from RefSeq and is a predicted model, not a curated record. The transcript has 3 exons.